Molecule: long non-coding RNA, 773 nt
Organism: Musca domestica (house fly)
Lineage: Eukaryota; Metazoa; Arthropoda; Insecta; Diptera; Muscidae
Exons: 3
Source: RefSeq, a predicted model, not a curated record
ACGUAAAAAUUUAUUUUUUUAAAUUCGCAAAAUUUUUCAACAACUAAAUUAAACAAUAUGAAUUGAUUCAUCAGCGUUUACUUAAAAAGAAACAAAAAAGGACAAUGUCAGCGGAAAUGCUGAACCACAAGAAACCUCCAAAAACAACGUGAACGAACAAAAGCAACAAAUCAGCGAUAUUUGAAUAGGAUUCAAUGAAAAAUCCUACAAAACAUCCUUUAAGCUGCAAACAAGAUGGAAGCAACCGGAGCCAGUCAACACAGAGACCAACGGAAGUAUAAUAAACUGCAUUCGGAUGAAGGGGGAAAUUUUAAUUCAUAAACUAAAGGAGUAUUGAAGGAGUACACCACCGUGAGCUCUAUUAAUGAAAUCCUAUUAUGAGAUUUAUUGACCGGUUCAACACCAUCCAUGCUCUUGUACCACCAAAGCAACAAACUCAAACACAAAUACCAAAAUCUCAAACUGGAUAUUGUGCCGCCCUGCUACAAAUUUUCUGCAACAAUGUUUUCCCAUUCGAAUGGUGGAUAUCCAUCAAUUCAACAACGAAUAAUGUAAAACCACUAAAUGGACUUAUUAGCAGAAGUUAAAAGAAACAUCGGGGAAUGAUUUUACAUAUAAUGAGAGCCGCGUUUCGCAGUUGAUUAAGCCUAUUUGGUGUGGAUAAUGGCUUACAAGGACCGUUUCUUGGAAGAAACUAUUUAUUUCGAACUUAUAGCGAUUAAGCACAUGCGCAUUAUACACCAAAAACCAUCCAAGUUGGAUUCAAGUUCUAA